Molecule: ribosomal RNA, 549 nt
Filed under: Colletotrichum gloeosporioides
Lineage: Eukaryota; Fungi; Ascomycota; Sordariomycetes; Glomerellales; Glomerellaceae
Description: eukaryotic LSU rRNA
Rfam family: 5.8S ribosomal RNA (bases 189-342)
Source: RNAcentral
UGCGGAGGGAUCAUUACUGAGUUUACGCUCUAUAACCCUUUGUGAACAUACCUAUAACUGUUGCUUCGGCGGGUAGGGUCUCCGCGACCCUCCCGGCCUCCCGCCUCCGGGCGGGUCGGCGCCCGCCGGAGGAUAACCAAACUCUGAUUUAACGACGUUUCUUCUGAGUGGUACAAGCAAAUAAUCAAAACUUUUAACAACGGAUCUCUUGGUUCUGGCAUCGAUGAAGAACGCAGCGAAAUGCGAUAAGUAAUGUGAAUUGCAGAAUUCAGUGAAUCAUCGAAUCUUUGAACGCACAUUGCGCCCGCCAGCAUUCUGGCGGGCAUGCCUGUUCGAGCGUCAUUUCAACCCUCAAGCUCUGCUUGGUGUUGGGGCCCUACAGCUGAUGUAGGCCCUCAAAGGUAGUGGCGGACCCUCCCGGAGCCUCCUUUGCGUAGUAACUUUACGUCUCGCACUGGGACCCGGAGGGACUCUUGCCGUAAAACCCCCCAAUUUUCCAAAGGUUGACCUCGGAUCAGGUAGGAAUACCCGCUGAACUUAAGCAUAUCA